UUAAGCGACUAAGCGUACACGGUGGAUGCCCUGGCAGUCAGAGGCGAUGAAGGACGUGCUAAUCUGCGAUAAGCGUCGGUAAGGUGAUAUGAACCGUUAUAACCGGCGAUUUCCGAAUGGGGAAACCCAGUGUGUUUCGACACACUAUCAUUAACUGAAUCCAUAGGUUAAUGAGGCGAACCGGGGGAACUGAAACAUCUAAGUACCCCGAGGAAAAGAAAUCAACCGAGAUUCCCCCAGUAGCGGCGAGCGAACGGGGAGCAGCCCAGAGCCUGAAUCAGUGUGUGUGUUAGUGGAAGCGUCUGGAAAGGCGCGCGAUACAGGGUGACAGCCCCGUACACAAAAAUGCACAUGCUGUGAGCUCGAUGAGUAGGGCGGGACACGUGGUAUCCUGUCUGAAUAUGGGGGGACCAUCCUCCAAGGCUAAAUACUCCUGACUGACCGAUAGUGAACCAGUACCGUGAGGGAAAGGCGAAAAGAACCCCGGCGAGGGGAGUGAAAAAGAACCUGAAACCGUGUACGUACAAGCAGUGGGAGCACAGAGCAAUCUGUGUGACUGCGUACCUUUUGUAUAAUGGGUCAGCGACUUAUAUUCUGUAGCAAGGUUAACCGAAUAGGGGAGCCGAAGGGAAACCGAGUCUUAACUGGGCGUUAAGUUGCAGGGUAUAGACCCGAAACCCGGUGAUCUAGCCAUGGGCAGGUUGAAGGUUGGGUAACACUAACUGGAGGACCGAACCGACUAAUGUUGAAAAAUUAGCGGAUGACUUGUGGCUGGGGGUGAAAGGCCAAUCAAACCGGGAGAUAGCUGGUUCUCCCCGAAAGCUAUUUAGGUAGCGCCUCGUGAAUUCAUCUCCGGGGGUAGAGCACUGUUUCGGCAAGGGGGUCAUCCCGACUUACCAACCCGAUGCAAACUGCGAAUACCGGAGAAUGUUAUCACGGGAGACACACGGCGGGUGCUAACGUCCGUCGUGAAGAGGGAAACAACCCAGACCGCCAGCUAAGGUCCCAAAGUCAUGGUUAAGUGGGAAACGAUGUGGGAAGGCCCAGACAGCCAGGAUGUUGGCUUAGAAGCAGCCAUCAUUUAAAGAAAGCGUAAUAGCUCACUGGUCGAGUCGGCCUGCGCGGAAGAUGUAACGGGGCUAAACCAUGCACCGAAGCUGCGGCAGCGACGCUUAUGCGUUGUUGGGUAGGGGAGCGUUCUGUAAGCCUGUGAAGGUGUGCUGUGAGGCAUGCUGGAGGUAUCAGAAGUGCGAAUGCUGACAUAAGUAACGAUAAAGCGGGUGAAAAGCCCGCUCGCCGGAAGACCAAGGGUUCCUGUCCAACGUUAAUCGGGGCAGGGUGAGUCGACCCCUAAGGCGAGGCCGAAAGGCGUAGUCGAUGGGAAACAGGUUAAUAUUCCUGUACUUGGUGUUACUGCGAAGGGGGGACGGAGAAGGCUAUGUUGGCCGGGCGACGGUUGUCCCGGUUUAAGCGUGUAGGCUGGUUUUCCAGGCAAAUCCGGAAAAUCAAGGCUGAGGCGUGAUGACGAGGCACUACGGUGCUGAAGCAACAAAUGCCCUGCUUCCAGGAAAAGCCUCUAAGCAUCAGGUAACAUCAAAUCGUACCCCAAACCGACACAGGUGGUCAGGUAGAGAAUACCAAGGCGCUUGAGAGAACUCGGGUGAAGGAACUAGGCAAAAUGGUGCCGUAACUUCGGGAGAAGGCACGCUGAUAUGUAGGUGAGGUCCCUCGCGGAUGGAGCUGAAAUCAGUCGAAGAUACCAGCUGGCUGCAACUGUUUAUUAAAAACACAGCACUGUGCAAACACGAAAGUGGACGUAUACGGUGUGACGCCUGCCCGGUGCCGGAAGGUUAAUUGAUGGGGUUAGCGGUAACGCGAAGCUCUUGAUCGAAGCCCCGGUAAACGGCGGCCGUAACUAUAACGGUCCUAAGGUAGCGAAAUUCCUUGUCGGGUAAGUUCCGACCUGCACGAAUGGCGUAAUGAUGGCCAGGCUGUCUCCACCCGAGACUCAGUGAAAUUGAACUCGCUGUGAAGAUGCAGUGUACCCGCGGCAAGACGGAAAGACCCCGUGAACCUUUACUAUAGCUUGACACUGAACAUUGAGCCUUGAUGUGUAGGAUAGGUGGGAGGCUUUGAAGUGUGGACGCCAGUCUGCAUGGAGCCGGCCUUGAAAUACCACCCUUUAAUGUUUGAUGUUCUAACGUUGGCCCCUGAUCGGGGUUGCGGACAGUGUCUGGUGGGUAGUUUGACUGGGGCGGUCUCCUCCUAAAGAGUAACGGAGGAGCACGAAGGUUGGCUAAUCCUGGUCGGACAUCAGGAGGUUAGUGCAAUGGCAUAAGCCAGCUUGACUGCGAGCGUGACGGCGCGAGCAGGUGCGAAAGCAGGUCAUAGUGAUCCGGUGGUUCUGAAUGGAAGGGCCAUCGCUCAACGGAUAAAAGGUACUCCGGGGAUAACAGGCUGAUACCGCCCAAGAGUUCAUAUCGACGGCGGUGUUUGGCACCUCGAUGUCGGCUCAUCACAUCCUGGGGCUGAAGUAGGUCCCAAGGGUAUGGCUGUUCGCCAUUUAAAGUGGUACGCGAGCUGGGUUUAGAACGUCGUGAGACAGUUCGGUCCCUAUCUGCCGUGGGCGCUGGAGAACUGAGGGGGGCUGCUCCUAGUACGAGAGGACCGGAGUGGACGCAUCACUGGUGUUCGGGUUGUCAUGCCAAUGGCACUGCCCGGUAGCUAAAUGCGGAAGAGAUAAGUGCUGAAAGCAUCUAAGCACGAAACUUGCCCCGAGAUGAGUUCUCCCUGACUCCUUGAGAGUCCUGAAGGAACGUUGAAGACGACGACGUUGAUAGGCCGGGUGUGUAAGCGCAGCGAUGCGUUGAGCUAACCGGUACUAAUGAACCGUGAGGCUUAACCUU
This 2906-nucleotide ribosomal RNA is filed under the name Escherichia coli. RNAcentral describes it as "bacterial LSU rRNA". It matches the Rfam family "Bacterial large subunit ribosomal RNA". RNAcentral also lists the same sequence under 1 other name. The record is from RNAcentral. Lineage: Bacteria; Pseudomonadati; Pseudomonadota; Gammaproteobacteria; Enterobacterales; Enterobacteriaceae.